UGACCCUAGGCGAGGUGAGAUUACCAGCUGAGUUUAAACAUAUCAAUAAACAGAGGAAAAGAAAGUUACCAGGAUUGCUUUAGUAACGGUGAGCGAACUGAGAAAAGCCCAUCUUGACAAUUGGACAUGAUCGGUGUUCGAAUUGUAGUCUAGAGAAGUGUCCUCAGUGUCAAACUAGGCCUAAAUCUCGUGGAAAGGGGUGCCAGAGAGGGGGGUAGCCCCGUCAUGCUCGAACCCUGUUACACUAUGAGGCACUAUCUACGAGUCGAGUUUUUUAGGUAUGUAGGCCCAACCGGGUGGUAAAUUUCAUCCAAGGCUAAAUACGGGUGAGAGACUGAUAGCGAACAAGCACCGCAAGGGAAAGAUGGAAAGGACUUUGAAAAUAGACCAACAGCAAACAAGUACUGACGCAGGUCAUGGUGACGAACCAAGCCCAGGCUUUUGAUAGCCCGUGGAGACGUCGUCGCCUUAAUCGUGGGAUCUAGCACACACUGUCUUGGCGAGCUUCGACACCUACGUGCUUCGGACGUCAGCCUGCAGGCUCCCCAUUCGGCCCGUCUUGAAACAUGAACCAAGGAUUCUAACAUGUGUGCUAGUCAAUGGGCUAGAAAACCCAUAAGGUACAAGGAAGCUGAUUGGCGGGAUCCCUCGUAGGUGCACCGUCGAUCGACCUUGAUCUGCUAAGAAUGGCUCAAGUGAGAGAAUGCCUAUCAGAACCGAAAAGAUGGUGAACUAUGCCUAAGUAGGGUGAAGCCAGAGGAAACUCUAAUGGAGACCCACAGCAAUAGUGACAUGUAAGUCGUUCGUCUGACUUAGGUAUAAGGGCGAAAGAUUAAUCAAACCGUCCAGUAGCUGGUUCCCUAUGAAGUUUCCUGAUACGUGAUAUUCGUGACAGGUUUUAAAAAAUUUAUAAUUAAUCGUUCUUGAAACUAACUAUUAUCACAAUGAAGGCAAGUGUACCUAUCGAACAGUAAUAUAGCUUUAGCAAGACCAG
Molecule: non-coding RNA, 994 nt
Filed under: Gossypium arboreum
Lineage: Eukaryota; Viridiplantae; Streptophyta; Magnoliopsida; Malvales; Malvaceae
Description: Eukaryotic large subunit ribosomal RNA
Rfam family: Eukaryotic large subunit ribosomal RNA
Source: Rfam by way of RNAcentral